Solanum dulcamara is the source of this 2099-nucleotide RNA transcript. RefSeq lists it as uncharacterized. The record is from RefSeq and is a predicted model, not a curated record. NCBI's taxonomy places the organism in Eukaryota, Viridiplantae, Streptophyta, Magnoliopsida, Solanales, Solanaceae. The transcript has 3 exons.
AAAAAACCAAUCCAAAUAAAAACAACAUACGACUCAUUCACUACACCACACCUGUAAAGCCGCACGUGUCUUUGACUUUCCUUUGACUCCCUGCAGAAGCUUCGAAAAAUCAUCUGCUUGCUUUACAAGCCCUAAUCUUCCAUCGAAUCUCCAAAAAUUGAACUUUGAACCCCUUUUUUCUCGAUUACAUUACUACUUCAUUAACUCAGAAUUUGAUUACUCAGGAUAUAGGGAGCACAUACUGUGGAUUUUUCUGUUGUGAUCGGCUUUGUUAAUGGAUUGAGCAAAGGUGCUCUUUAUUCUAUUGAUUUCAUGGUACUUUUCUUGAUUAUUUAACUUCUUCUGUUCAGUGUUCAAAGUGAAUACGGGAUUGAGAAUGCCCACAAAUCGGCAUUGCCCCCGAAUUGACACUUAUCAGCUGAAGCUUCAAAUUGAAAGGAAGAUUGGUCAACAAAGGGCGGAGAAAUAUUUUACUGCGUUAAGCAAAUACUUGAGUCUAAAGCUUAGCAAGUCAGAGUUUGAGAAGUUCUGCAUUGGUUUGUUGGGGAGAGAUAAUAUCUGCCUUCAUAAUGCACUUAUGCGAGCAAUCAUAAAAAAUGCUUGUGCAGCUAAGACACCUCCACUGAAGAAUGGCACAAUGCAGCCUUCAAUUAAUGGCAAAGUUCCAAAUGGAUGUCAAAGAGGCACUCUCCAGUCACUAUGCAGGGAUGUGUUUCCUCGGUCUCCUAGAAAGGGGAGAACUCCUACUCUUCGUGAUCGCAGAUUCAAGGACCGAUCAUGUCCUCUGCGGCCUCAUUGGAAAACCCAUUCUGUUGCUUGUGAAGAUAAUGCACCAAAAGCACAAGAGCAUCAAAGUGCUACUGAGUGGCUAUCAUUGGGUAGCACUCAUAGUAGAAGCCAUGUAACUGCUCCCCUUGGCAUCUCCCUGAGUGCUAGGGGAACAAGGAAAGUAGUAUGUCACAGAUCAGCCCCUUUACACGGUAUUGAAACUUGUAAUAGCACUCGUGAGUUGCCAGACUCCAGCUCUCUAAAGAAAUGGUUGGAACAGAAGUCGGAGACAGAAGGCGUACAGAUAUCAACAGAUGCCAUAAAAGUGUUGAAUAGUGGGCUUGAUGUUUUUUUAAAGAGAUUAAUAAAACCUUGUUUGGACUUAGCCGGCUCAAAGUCACAACACAAGCGCAUCCAUGACCAAGCUUUAUCAGUUUCAAAUAAAACGAGGCCCAUAAAAUACAUUCAGAAACCGAGUGAUCUCUUUUCUGUUUCAAUGCUGGAUUUUCGCUCUGCAAUGGAGUUGAAUCCCAGGAUACUGGGGGAAGAUAGCAGAAUACAGCUUGAGAAAGUUUCCUUGCAUGCAUACGAAGAAUCAUUGAUCAAUUAGUGCAUUGAUAUUGGUAUGGUUGCAACUCCAAGUCCAUCUGAAAGUGAUGACUUGAGUUGUGAUUUUAAAAGUCGGUCAAACAGUGAUGCUGAUGCAGUUUAUACAAGCAGUAGCAAAGCUUCGACGUCAUUUAGAGCUACGUAAAAUUUUGGAUCAAGGAGUGGCCUCGGUGGAAGACAAGAUGCGGGAAAUGCGACUGAGAUGGUUUGGGCAUGUGAAGAGGAGAGACACAGAUGACCCAGUGAGAAGGUGUGAGAGGUUGGCCAUGGAUGGCUACAGAAGAGGUAGGGGUAGGCCGAAGAAGUAUUGGGGAGAGGUGAUUAGACAGGACAUGGCUCAGUUACAGCUUACCGAGGACAUGACCUUAGAUAGGAGGCUGUGGAGGACCCACAUUAGGGUAGAAGGCUAGUACAUAGUCUCGUUAUUCUUCCUUAUUCAUAGGCGCACUAGCACAUUACAAUUCCUUGUACUCUCAUUUCUGCUAUUUCUGUUACUAUUUAUUGCUUUCAGUACUUUUGAUUACUCUAUUUUAUCUGUGAUGCCUUCGUUAUUUAUUUUUCUAUAGCGCUUUGAAUUUUUUUAACUUUAUCUGACCCCCUUUUAUGCUUUUUUUUUGAGCCGAGGGUCUCUCGGAAACAGCCGUCCUACCUUGGUAGGAGUAAGGUCUGCGUACAAUCUACCCUCCCCAGACCCCACGUUGUGGGAUUUCACUGGGUUGUUG